This 568-nucleotide long non-coding RNA is filed under the name Homo sapiens (human). Its description in RNAcentral is "MORC1 antisense RNA 1 (MORC1-AS1)". The record is from RNAcentral. Lineage: Eukaryota; Metazoa; Chordata; Mammalia; Primates; Hominidae.
GUUCUUCUUGUUGGCCUACCUGAAUACAUGCUGAAGAAUUGUCCUGAGGACCCUCUGUCAGUCUGGGUACAGAUAUGCUAUAGUUCAGUGGCACAUGGUAUGAGGAGAGAGCUGCCUGCAGAGAGCGUGAGUCCUGAUCCCUUGUCCCAGGGCAAAAGAGUUUCAGAGGAAGCCCAACUCCACUGGGCGGUUUUUCAGGACCUGGAGAGGAGAAGGAGAUGAAGAGUGUCAUUUAUUGUUUCCUCAGUUAUCUCAAGAGGUCCACGUCUAUCUCUCUCAUGAAGCGUAAGCACUCCUCUGACUCAGAACACUCAGUUAACUGAGGUGCUUUUUAAACAGAGAUAUGGAUUUAGAUCAUGGAGCAUAUCCUCUCACCCGUGACCAGUAGCCAAUAUUGCAGAACAGCUGACAGAAAUGUGGUAGGGAUGCUGCGUGACUACCUGGGCAUUACUCUACAGAGCUGGAUCACAGAACCUAACUUCAUUAGCAUCAUAGUCUAAUGAGAUAACUAGUGAGUGCAAUAAAUACUUGAUGACUACGAAUAAAGUCAGCAAAGAAAACAAAAAAA